RNAcentral lists this long non-coding RNA (696 nucleotides) under Mus musculus (house mouse). RNAcentral describes it as "RIKEN cDNA A430093F15 gene". The record is from RNAcentral. Lineage: Eukaryota; Metazoa; Chordata; Mammalia; Rodentia; Muridae.
AAUAGCUAUGACUGCCACUGAGGGUUGUUACACGAGCAAGUUAGAGAACAGAAGAACGAGGAGCCCUUGAACAUGAACAGCUCUCCAUCUAGCCCUGAGGCCGACACCCUAAACUUCUGGGACCCCAGGAAUGUGGGAUUCAGAGAGGCCAGUUCGGCUGGAGACAGUUCCACACCAAGGAUGCUUUUCCCAAGGACACAGUCCCUAUCUUCUAGGUGCCUGGACUCCACACGUGCCGAGUGCUCCUGAAAUGAAGUUCUAGAACCUACAGCCACUGGACAGGUCUCUAGUGGAAAAGCAAUGCCUGUGAGUUUGCUUGGGCUGGCCUUGAACUCACUAUAUAGUUAAGUAUGAUCAUGAACCUCUCAUCCUCCUGCCUCAGGCUCCUGAGUGUUGGGAUAACUGGUGUGUUUCCUAAAAGCAAGACUAUUUCUUUACAGACUCCGGCAUACGUUCAGAGCAUGAAACUUGACCCUGAUUGCAUCCUGUUACUUGACUUGUAAACCUCACUCUGUUUGUGCCUGCCCAUCAAUGCCUUCUUAGUAAAGGAAAACCCUAGCACCAUGGCUGCCUCUCUCAGGCCCCUCUGAGAGGAGGCUGCCCCUGAGUCUUUGUAUUUUGUCUUUCAAGAAACACAUGUUGGAUGCUUUGUAAAAUGUCAAAGAUCCCAUUGAAAAUAAAUUUAUUUUUAUUUUA